RNAcentral lists this transfer RNA (72 nucleotides) under Phycisphaerales bacterium. RNAcentral's name for it is "tRNA-Ala". It matches the Rfam family "tRNA". Rfam says of the family: Transfer RNA (tRNA) molecules are approximately 80 nucleotides in length. Their secondary structure includes four short double-helical elements and three loops (D, anti-codon, and T loops). Lineage: Bacteria; Pseudomonadati; Planctomycetota; Phycisphaerae; Phycisphaerales. The record is from RNAcentral.
GGGCCGUAGCUCAGUUGGGAGAGCGCCUGCUUUGCAAGCAGGAGGUCGUCGGUUCGAUCCCGAUCGGCUCCA